This 440-nucleotide ribosomal RNA is filed under the name uncultured bacterium. Its description in RNAcentral is "partial 16S ribosomal RNA". It matches the Rfam family "Bacterial small subunit ribosomal RNA", at positions 338 to 795 of the family's 1533-position model. The record is from RNAcentral.
CCUACGGGGUGCAGCAGUGGGGGAUAUUGCACAAUGGGGGGAACCCUGAUGCAGCGACGCCGCGUGGGUGAAGAAGCGCCUCGGCGCGUAAAGCCCUGUCAGCAGGGAAGAAAAUGACGGUACCUGAAGAAGAAGCCCCGGCUAACUACGUGCCAGCAGCCGCGGUAAUACGUAGGGGGCAAGCGUUAUCAGGAUUUACUGGGGGGAAAGGGGGCGCAGACGGCGAUGCAAGCCAGGAGUGAAAGCCCGGGGCCCAACCCCGGGACUGCUCUUGGAACUGCGUGGCUGGAGUGCAGGAGGGGCAGGCGGAAUUCCUGGUGUAGCGGUGAAAUGCGUAGAUAUCAGGAGGAACACCGGUGGCGAAGGCGGCCUGCUGGACUGCAACUGACGUUGAGGCCCGAAAGCGUGGGGAGCAAACAGGAUUAGAUACCCCUGUAGUC